CUGGCGGCAGGCCUAACACAUGCAAGUCGAGCGGUAGCACAAGGGAGCUUGCUCCCUGGGNUGACGAGCGGCGGACGGGUGAGUAAUGUCUGGGGAUCUGCCUGAUGGAGGGGGAUAACUACUGGAAACGGUAGCUAAUACCGCAUAACGUCGCAAGACCAAAGUGGGGGACCUUAGGGCCUCAUGCCAUCGGAUGAACCCAGAUGGGAUUAGCUAGUAGGUGGGGUAAUGGCUCACCUAGGCGACGAUCCCUAGCUGGUCUGAGAGGAUGACCAGCCACACUGGAACUGAGACACGGUCCAGACUCCUACGGGAGGCAGCAGUGGGGAAUAUUGCACAAUGGGCGCAAGCCUGAUGCAGCCAUGCCGCGUGUGUGAAGAAGGCCUUAGGGUUGUAAAGCACUUUCAGCGAGGAGGAAGGAUGAAGUGUUAAUAGCACUUGAUAUUGACGUCUUACCUACUCUUGACAUCCAGAGAAUUAGCCAGAGAUGGCUGAGUGCCUUCGGGAGCUCUGAGACAGGUGCUGCAUGGCUGUCGUCAGCUCGUGUUGUGAAAUGUUGGGUUAAGUCCCGCAACGAGCGCAACCCUUAUCCUUUGUUGCCAGCGAUUCGGUCGGGAACUCAAAGGAGACUGCCGGUGAUAAACCGGAGGAAGGUGGGGAUGACGUCAAGUCAUCAUGGCCCUUACGAGUAGAGCUACACACGUGCUACAAUGGCGUAUACAAAGAGAAGCGAGCCUGCGAGGGGAAGCGGACCUCAUAAAGUACGUCGUAGUCCGGAUUGGAGUCUGCAACUCGACUCCAUGAAGUCGGAAUCGCUAGUAAUCGUAGAUCAGAAUGCUACGGUGAAUACGUUCCCGGGCCUUGUACACACCGCCCGUCACANCCAUGGGAGUGGGUUGCAAAAGAAGUAGGUAGCUUAACCUUCGGGAGGGCGCUUACCACUUUGUGGUUCAUG
This 955-nucleotide ribosomal RNA is filed under the name uncultured Eubacterium sp. RNAcentral's name for it is "bacterial SSU rRNA". It matches the Rfam family "Bacterial small subunit ribosomal RNA". Lineage: Bacteria; Bacillati; Bacillota; Clostridia; Eubacteriales; Eubacteriaceae. The record is from RNAcentral.